This 63-nucleotide unclassified non-coding RNA is filed under the name Paraphysomonas foraminifera. The record is from RNAcentral. Lineage: Eukaryota; Chrysophyceae; Chromulinales; Paraphysomonadaceae.
AUGAUACACGCAACGAGUCCACCUUGUCCGAAAGGUCCGGGUAAUCUUGUAAAUGUGUAUCGU